Potamilus streckersoni is the source of this 69-nucleotide non-coding RNA. The record is from the annotation of a GenBank genome assembly. NCBI's taxonomy places the organism in Eukaryota, Metazoa, Mollusca, Bivalvia, Unionida, Unionidae.
GCUCCUGUGAAAUAGUGGUUAGUCCGCCUCUGAUGCGGGAGGUCGCGGGUUCGAACCCCGGCUGAGUCA